UCUCCUCAGGUGACUGGCCAGGCGUGUGUUUGUUUUUCUACUUGGUAAUCACUCUUUUUGGUGUUCAGCAUUUGAUGAGAGCUUCAGAAAGAGGUAAACAUGUUAUCUUUCCAAACACAGCUCUGCAAGACUGCUAUAGAUCCUUGUGGAGACUGAUUCGUACACGCUGGAAGAAGAAUAGUGCCCAAAGCUUCCCAUGUGGGCAGAGACUUGAGGUGCACCUAAGAGGACUCUGAAUCCUGGGAUUUGUCCCACAUCAAUAACCAUGCUGGUUUCCAGGCUCUGAAACAAACCUGGCAUUCAGGGAAGCAGGGGGAAAGAUUCAGAAGACUAGAAAAUAUAGAGGAAGAGAGAAAACUCCCAUGGCAGAUCUGGGGGAUGUGAUGCUGGGUCACGAAGUCAUUGCCUUAACCCCCAGUAUACACCAAAGCUUCCCUAAGGUGGAAACUAGCAGAGUGUGGUAGGAGCACGCUGCUUUGCCAGCACAGCAAAGGAGCAGCUUCAGAAGGAGCUGUGUGACAGACAGAGUCACAGCAUCACAGAAUGGCUGAGGUAGGAAGGGACUUCUGGAGCCCAUCAGGUCCAACCCCUGCUCAGGGUGCCCAGGCCCAUGUCAGGUAGCUUCUGAAGAUCUCCAAGGAGUUCUCCCAUCCUUUGGCAGCUGAGAAACAAGCGGAGUCUCGUCACUGUGCUUGGCUGGAAGUGAGCCAUCUCUGCUUCUGUUGUGGGACUAAUCAGGCCAGGGGAACAAAUUAAAUGACAUGUUUCUGCCCUAGAAACUGUGAUGCUGCUGUGAAAUUUGCUUGCCUUAGGCUAAUGAUGCUGAAGGUGUCUAAAGUAUUGUCUCUCAGAAAAUUCUGCUUUUAAACUGCUUGGGAAGUGGUGACAACCUUCAGCACACUCAGAUGAGGUAGUCUUGAAAGAACAGAUUUAUUGACCCUUUUCUAUUGUUCUCAAGGGCAAUUGGGGCCAUGCUAGCAGUGGUGGUGAAUAUGCAUACAAAGAAGAAGUGGGGCUGGAGCCCAUCACCAAUGUUCUGAGAACCUGGGCAAGCUGCAAGCUUUUCCUGUUGCACCCAUGCUCAUCCCUGAAGAGCUGAAGCCCACUGCGAUUUUGGGGGACCCACCUGCUCUUUCUUCCUGUAGCUUUUGAAGAUUCAAUUAGAAAACAUGGGAUGCUGCUUUUAGUCAUUUUGAAAUCAGAGAAAUGAUUUGUCAUGCUGGAAAGAAGUAAAAGCAAACCCCAGAUUUACAGAGAACACAGGAUUUUUUUUUCUGCUUACUAUGAGAACUCAGAUGCAGCUGAAAUGAAAACUCAAUAAUUGAUCUACAUCCAUUUACAGAUCCAUCAACAUUUAUGUAGGCUGGGAAACCUUAUCCCUGUGUGCACAUUUUCCCUUUAAGCAGCUUGUACUCCGUCUGCCUGUGAAUACAUCUGCUCUCAUCGCACAGGGGAUGCUAGGUUCCUUCUAGGAAUGAGCUGGGGGCCUUUUCUUUUUUCCCUCCAGUAAGAGGACUGACAAGAUAAGCUGCUGAACUGCUACACAGCUCGUGAGAUAAGUGUGGAGUCCUUUAAAGCUCAGGACGCAACCAGGAUUUACCUCUUGAAACACAGCAGCUUGUAGCUGCUGUUUAAACAGCACAAAGUCACUUGCAUGGGUAACAAAAUCUGCCUCAAAACAAGCAGCACAGAUGUGACCUGUAAGGUCACAAAAAUCAAAAAUAAGCCUUUUUUUUUUUUUCUUUUUUCUUUGAUUGAGAUGCUAUAGUAUGGAAUGAGGCUGAGGAAAUGUACUGUGAUUCCCCAUUUGCUGCUCGGUGUCACAGAUCACAGGCUGUGCAGCCACGCCAGGCUGCAGGUCAUGUGCCUUCGUUCCCUAAAUAGAGAAAGUUCCCUGCUACGUUGUGACAUAUCUGAGAGGACUUUCACUUUUGCUUUGUCUGGUUAAUGAGCAAAGUGUUUUGCAAGGAGCACAUCCCAAGGUCUCCUCUGCUCCCAGUACGGUGCUGUGGGACACCCCACGUUCCCCAGCAGAGAGCAGGUCCCGGCUGCAGGAGCCCGCUGAGGCCUGCUCCAGGCCCUUGGACGUGUUGCAGGACAUCUCCUGCUGCUGGAAACCUGGUUCUGUGGGGAGCUACAAGCACACCCAAGUUGUCCCCUUUCCUGGGAAGGAAGAGGUGGUGUCACAGACUCACAGGAUGGCUGAGGAGGGAAGGGACCUCUGGAGGCAUCUGGCCCAACCCCUGCCCAAGCAGGGCCACCUAGAGCAGGGUGCCCAGGCCCAUGUCCAGGUGGCUUCUAAAGAUCUCCAAGGAGGAGACUCCACAGCCCCUCUGGGCAGCCUGUGCUCAGUCACUUGCACAGUAAAGACGUGCUUCCUGAUGUUCAGGUGGCACCUCCUGUGUCCCAGUUUGUGCCCGUUGCUUUGUCCUGGCAACUGGACACCAUGGAAAAAAGCCUGGCUCUGUCCUCUUGCACCCUCCCUUCUGAUAUUUACAGACCUUGGUGAGAUCCCUUGAGUCUCCUCCAGGGUGAACAGUCCCAGCUCUCCCAGCCUCUCCUCACAGGAGACGUGCUCCAGUCCCCUCAUCGUAUCGGUGGCUCUUUGUUGGACUCUCUCCAGCGCAUCCAGGUCUCUCUCAUACUGGGAAGCCCAGAAACAGACCCAAAACUCCAGGUGUGGCCCCACCAGUGCUGAAUAGAGGGGAAGGAUCACCUCCCUCAGCCCCUUGGUGAUACCUUGCCUAAAGCAGCCCACAAUACCAUUGGCCUUCUUAGUGACAAGGGCACACUGAUGGCUUCUGCUCAAGGAGAAUUUGGUGGGUUUUAAGGUGCUAAAUAUUAUGUGCUGCUGAAUAUACGUGAGCUGAUUUUUUACUUUUCUAUUUUUUUCAGAGGGAUCUUGACAAAAUUUUGUGGCUGUGGCAGCAAAAGGCACAUUGCCAAACUAAUAUUAAGCUACCUUCUCUGCUAAAAGGACUUUUUCCAAACUUCCAGCCCCAAGGUUAAUUCAGGCUGUUGAGUAGAGCUUCCCACCUACUGGAAAAUAAGUGCCUUGGUCUCAAAAGGAUCUUGUAGGAGAAGUACAGGGAAGAAGGCAGAGAGAAACUGCACAAACCAACCAGAUCUGCAAUGGGCCUAACACUGAGCAAACCAUGUCUGUAUGACUCCAGGCUCAUACCUGAAGACAUGUAAAAGGCUUCAAAGAAUUGAGCCCACUAAAAUGAAUGCAACAAGGGCCACAAGUGGAAAGACACCUGCAUGGAGAUGGCUGGGCUGUGUUUGGACCUUGCCUUCCUGCCCAUGCUGUUUCCACAGAGCCCAUCACCAUGCUCAGGCCAAGAGAUGCUUUUAGGAGGUCUGGGCUGGGAGGUCUCGCUGUCCCAGAGAGACAUUCCUCUGAUGAUACAAACAGCCAACAUCAGUGUUUAACAGAGCAAUGGUGAAUGACACAAAGCCUGAUGUGGGUUGCCCAGCCAGAAAGAGAUGUGAACUGUGGCACCAUGGUGAGAGCAGACUUCAUCUAUUCCCCUCUGAAGCUGAGUUCAGAGAAACCUGACUGCGUCCACCUGAGGCUGAAUAAAGCAGCCUGCCAAGAACGAUC
Long non-coding RNA from Anas platyrhynchos (mallard), 3604 nucleotides. RefSeq lists it as uncharacterized. Lineage: Eukaryota; Metazoa; Chordata; Aves; Anseriformes; Anatidae. The record is from RefSeq and is a predicted model, not a curated record.